Molecule: ribosomal RNA, 587 nt
Filed under: uncultured Planctomycetota bacterium
Lineage: Bacteria; Pseudomonadati; Planctomycetota
Description: bacterial SSU rRNA
Rfam family: Bacterial small subunit ribosomal RNA
Source: RNAcentral
GAGCACGUAGGUGGGUUUGUAAGUCAGACGUGAAAGCCUUCUGUUCAACGGAAGAAUUGCAUCUGAAACUACAAACCUUGAGUGUAGGAGGGGAGAAUGGAACUUCUGCUGGAGCGGUGAAAUGCGUAGAUAUCAGAAGGAACGCCGGCGGCGAAAGCGAUUCUCUGGCCUAUUACUGACACUCAGUGUGCGAAAGCUAGGGGAGCAAACGGGAUUAGAUACCCCGGUAGUCCUAGCCGUAAACGAUGGGCACUAAGUAGAGGGAAUUACCGAUGUUCUCUCUGCCGUAGCUAACGCAUUAAGUGCCCCGCCUGGGGAGUACGGCCGCAAGGCUAAAACUCAAAAGAAUUGACGGGGGCUCGCACAAGCGGUGGAGCAUGUGGCUUAAUUCGAUGCAACGCGAAAAACCUUACCGGGGCUUGACAUGGUAGAAGUAGGAACCCGAAAGGGUAACGAACGGUAUCCAGUCCGUGACUAUCACAGGUGUCGCAUGGCUGUCGUCAGCUCGUGUCGUGAGACGUUGGGUUAAGUCCCCUAACGAGCGAAACCCUUGUUUUUAGUUGCCAGCGGGUUGUGCCGGGCACUCU